This 720-nucleotide ribosomal RNA is filed under the name uncultured anaerobic ammonium-oxidizing bacterium. RNAcentral describes it as "bacterial SSU rRNA". It matches the Rfam family "Bacterial small subunit ribosomal RNA", at positions 565 to 1274 of the family's 1533-position model. The record is from RNAcentral.
GAGCACGUAGGUGGGUUUGUAAGUCAGAUGUGAAAGCCUUCUGUUCAACGGGAGAAUUGCAUCUGAAACUACAGACCUUGAGUAUAGGAGGGGAGAAUGGAACUUCUGGUGGAGCGGUGAAAUGCGUAGAUAUCAGAAGGAACGCCGGCGGCGAAAGCGAUUCUCUGGCCUAUUACUGACACUCAGUGCGCGAAAGCUAGGGGAGCAAACGGGAUUAGAUACCCCGGUAGUCCUAGCCGUAAACGAUGGGCACUAAGUAGAGGGAAUUACCGAUGUUCUCUCUGCCGUAGCUAACGCAUUAAGUGCCCCGCCUGGGGAGUACGGCCGCAAGGCUAAAACUCAAAAGAAUUGACGGGGGCUCGCACAAGCGGUGGAGCAUGUGGCUUAAUUCGAUGCAACGCGAAAAACCUUACCGGGGCUUGACAUGGUAGAAGUAGGAACCCGAAAGGGUAACGAACGGUAUCCAGUCCGUAGCUAUCACAGGUGUUGCAUGGCUGUCGUCAGCUCGUGUCGUGAGACGUUGGGUUAAGUCCCCUAACGAGCGAAACCCUUGUUUUUAGUUACCAGCGGGUUGUGCCGGGUACUCUAGAAAGACUGCCGUCGUCAAGACGGAGGAAGGUGGGGAUGACGUCAAGUCAUCAUGGCCCUUAUGCCCCGGGCUGCACACGUGCUACAAUGGUCGGUACAAACGGAAGCGAAGCCGAGAGGUGAAGCGAAUCC